RNAcentral lists this long non-coding RNA (288 nucleotides) under Mytilus galloprovincialis (Mediterranean mussel). Lineage: Eukaryota; Metazoa; Mollusca; Bivalvia; Mytilida; Mytilidae. The record is from RNAcentral.
GACUUACUCAAUUUAAACAUGAUAACUGUGUUUUGUCGGCUGAAGCAAAUGUGGGUUUUUUUCGGUGCUAGAAGAAGGACUUUUGUCUUGCAGUCGACCAUCUUACUAUACAGAUACAAAAGUAUACGCAUUUAUUUAUAAAUAUCCUUUAUCCUGUUUCUAUUUGAAGCUAACGAAUACAUUGAAAUCAUUGUUUAUGUUGCAGUUUACUUUGCCGUCCCCGUUCAAAUAUGAUUUUAAUAAAAAGUAAAGUCGGUAAAAUAAAGGUACGUCAUGUUUCCAUGCGUA